This 89-nucleotide transfer RNA is filed under the name Mariprofundus micogutta. Its description in RNAcentral is "tRNA-Ser". It matches the Rfam family "tRNA". Rfam says of the family: Transfer RNA (tRNA) molecules are approximately 80 nucleotides in length. Their secondary structure includes four short double-helical elements and three loops (D, anti-codon, and T loops). The record is from RNAcentral. Lineage: Bacteria; Pseudomonadati; Pseudomonadota; Candidatius Mariprofundia; Mariprofundales; Mariprofundaceae.
GGAAGGGUGACAGAGUUGGCCGAAUGUACCGGUCUUGAAAACCGGCGUAGGGAAACCUACCGUGGGUUCGAAUCCCACCCCUUCCGCCA